UGCUCAAAUUAUGUCACGCUUGGCAGAGGAAAUCAAAUGCCCAAACUUCUCUGCCAAUUCAACUACUUUUUCCUUCAUUCACACAAUCAAAGUCUAUUUCCUACACUCUAUUUUCUUUCAUUCACACAUCUAUUUCAGUCACCCCACCCUGUGCAUCCCUUUAUCUCAUCAUCCAAAGUCCUCCUUCAUCCCACACAACACUCUCUCGCCAAGAAUAGCAGAGCAACCAAGCAACGACCAUUUCAGAUUUUGAGCAGCUCACUCAAACUCAAGGCUUUGAGCAUCAGGAGGAUUAGCACUGCUAUUCCGAUUCAGAAAUAUGGAUAAACGACAGGCUUUGCCUAUACAGGUUGAGUAGCUGUCGAUGGUGAUGAAGUGACGACCGGAGUCUUUUGUCUUAUCCUUAUGUAUUAAUGAACUCUGGGGAUACAUGUCUUCAUACAUGUAAUCAGAACCUUAUUCCGCUGCGUACUCAGAAGUUUUAUGUUAUUUUGGCUAAGUCGGAGUUAUCCGAACUUACUAGUUAUUUGAGUCUAUACGACUAAAUCUCCGUUAUAUUAUAAAUAUCCCUUUUGUUAACAAUGAUGAAAUGCGAUCCUUCCUUGUUUGAUUAUCCCCCUUUCUACCCCGCUUCUAAUCUCCCUCCAUUAGUCACGGUUUUCCCGGCUUAAUUAUCCUUA
Salvia miltiorrhiza (redroot sage) is the source of this 680-nucleotide long non-coding RNA. RefSeq lists it as uncharacterized. The record is from RefSeq and is a predicted model, not a curated record. The transcript is spliced from 3 exons. NCBI's taxonomy places the organism in Eukaryota, Viridiplantae, Streptophyta, Magnoliopsida, Lamiales, Lamiaceae.